Molecule: long non-coding RNA, 1411 nt
Organism: Felis catus (domestic cat)
Lineage: Eukaryota; Metazoa; Chordata; Mammalia; Carnivora; Felidae
Exons: 3
Source: RefSeq, a predicted model, not a curated record
CCCCAACUUGGGUAGACGAGCCCAAGUGGACUGGCCCCCGGGCAACAGAGACCCAGUGAGGGAAGAGCUCAGACCCUCUGAGUCUCCACCUCCUACUGGGCGGGGCUCCAUGCAGGGGCGUGGCCGGCUGGGGGGUAUCCAGUUGUAUUCAUGUCGGAUGCAAGUCUACUGCGGUCCUGGCAGUAAAAAUACCCGCUCAAGGGACACGGAUUUUGGAGAGCACGUGAUGGGACGGGAUGGAUGAGAGCUGGAUGCCGGACCUCUCAUUUACCGACCGUGUGACUUUGGGGAAGUCAUCUGAUAUCUCUGAGAUGUACGUCCUCUCUUUUCUAGACUGAUGACUCAACUGAGGACAAUUUUGCACACAGGGGACAUUUGGCGGUGUCUGGAGAUGUACUUUUGGCUGUCAGAACUUGGAGGGGAGGGUGCGACUGGUGUCUAGCGGGUAGAGGCCAGGGACGCUGCCACACGUCCCACAAGGCACAGGACAGCUCCUCACACAGUGGCCUCGUUCAGCCCGAAGUGUCAACACUGAGGAUGUAGAAACUGAUGUACGAAAGGGAUGGGAGAUCCGGAUCUUGGCAACCAUCUUGUGACCAUGAGGACAAAGAGCCGAUAUGCUGAGGAAGGUAGGACAGAAGUGUGGGAAGACCCCGAGUCCAUGGUGAUGUCACAUUGCUGCCACACCAACCCAAGGAUCUCAGGGCUCUGGAGAGCUUGUUCAUAUGAGACAAGAAACUGUCUUUAAAGCCUGAGAUGGAGUUUGUCGGGUGCUCUGUAAUUGCAGCCAAGGGCAUUCCCAUGGAUACCCAUAUCUCCCCGUUCGGAAUGGGGUCUGAUUCCCUCUCAUUUCCCCUGAGGUAAGCAGCAAACACAUUGUGUGGCCACCACGAAGAGCCAUUUUCCAGACCCUCAGAGUACAAACAUGAAUUGAAUCCAGUCUCUAACAUCACAACAACCAGAACCUAAGGGAAGAAACACGCAAAAUGGAUGUAUUCCUCAUGACUGCUACCUGCGUGUCAAGUUCUGUGCUGAGCACUUGACAUGGGACCACCCACUUGAGGUCAAAGCCGGUUGAAGAGAGCACCAGCCUUGCCGGAAAAUAGUGGUUCUGCUUCUUGUGCACGAUCAACCCUGGUCCACUCUGAGUCUAGGGGCCGGACCUCACGGGUGCGGCCACCCCGGGAGCCAACAGUAGGCUGUAGCCCCAAACCCUGACCCUUCCUCAUCUUCAACGAAGUGAGUGUGCGAGCCUCCGCUCCAACGAGGGGGAACCCCAGAAACCCCAGUUUAUGAAGACUUGAACCAAACAGGUUCCUCUCCUGAAGGGCAGAGGAACACGUGUCUGUUGGCCUCACAGCGUGCGUGUGGCAGGAAAGGUUAUAAAUAAACCGUCCUCCUUCCCUCCGUC